Molecule: ribosomal RNA, 424 nt
Filed under: uncultured bacterium
Lineage: Bacteria
Description: partial 16S ribosomal RNA
Rfam family: Bacterial small subunit ribosomal RNA
Source: RNAcentral
UAUCUUGGACAAUUAUCGAAAGCCUGAUCCAGCCAUGCCGCGUGUGUGAAGAAGGUCUCCGGAUUGGAAAGCACUUUAAGUUGGGAGGCAGGGGUUGAAGCUAAUACCUUCAAUCUUUGACGUUACCAACAGACUAAGCACCGGCUAACUCUGUUCCAGCGGCCGCGGUAAUACUGAGGGUGCAAGCGUUAACCGGAAUUACUGGGCGUAAAGCGCGCGUAGGUGGUUCAGUAAGAUGGAAGUGAAAUCCCCGGGCUUAACCUGGGAACUGCUUUCAUAACUGCUGAGCUAGAGUACGGUAGAGGGUAGUGGAAUUUCCUGUGUAGCGAUGAAAUGCGUAGAUAUAGGAAGGAACACCAGUGGCGAAGGCGACUACCUGGACUGAUACUGACACUGAGGUGCGAAAGCGUGGGGAGCAAACAGG